CCAAUGUGAGUUUUGAGAGUAUAAGUAGAGAGUUUCAAAUUUAGAUAGAUGCGGUGUUAGACUUGAUUACAUAUUUGGUGUCAGGAGCAGGGCGAUGAGUGUUGUUGUUGUUGUUGUUUUGAGGAGUGACCAGUGCUAGUUCCCAACCGGAUCCACCGGUUUCUAUUAAGCUUAAACUAUUGGAUGGACCUGGAGCUUCAUGACCUGUAGAGACCAAUAACAGAGCCAACGCAUUGCGGUCUUCUAUCUCUGUGGCUUUCGGGUUUAUCUCACUCAGGCCCUGUGAAGUAGAAAAGAGGGGUCAAGGGGGUUUGAGAGUUUAGCCAAAAGAGAUGUCAAUACACAUUAAGACAGUAUGUAGAAAGAAGAUUCACCAGCAAGUCAUCCGUGUCUAUCAAGAAAGAAGGUUUAGUAUCUUCUUCUUCUAUUUGUUCUUUCUCCUCUUCUUCGAUAAGCGGCUGGUCUCCUUCAGUGUUUUCAGUUUGACUUUCGGUUUCUGCAGGUUCUUCAGGCUGAGCAGACUGUUCUUCUUCAUCUUGUUCUUCUUCCUCCUCUUUUUCAUAAUACUCCUGUUAGAACAGCAAAUGCCAACCAUAAAGAAACUUGCUAAUAGGCUUCAACAAUAUCUGUGGUGAGAUAAGACUCUGUACCAGCUUUUUCUGUACAGAACCACUUUGAGGCGCUUCUUUAAUGUAUUCUUCCAUUGUUGCAAGAAAAGACGGAGGAGGCUGAAUCAAGUUUUACAUAUUAGGUCUUUUGAGUUGAUCAAUCUCAUAUCAUAAACACACAAAAAAAUGGUUUUAGAGUGAACCUGUCUCAAUGUUGGGAACUGAAAGUUCCUUGCCAGCUCUAGACUUUUGCAGUGUUCAUAAAAAUCAGCCAGGUUUUCAGCCUGUGCAGUGAAAAACCUUUUAACAUUCAAGCUUAUAAAAUAUUGAUACUAAGUG
Long non-coding RNA from Brassica napus (rape), 947 nucleotides. RefSeq lists it as uncharacterized. The record is from RefSeq and is a predicted model, not a curated record. NCBI's taxonomy places the organism in Eukaryota, Viridiplantae, Streptophyta, Magnoliopsida, Brassicales, Brassicaceae. The transcript is spliced from 2 exons.